GGGUUGUGAGGUUAAGCGACUAAGCGUACACGGUGGAUGCCCUGGCAGUCAGAGGCGAUGAAGGACGUGCUAAUCUGCGAUAAGCGUCGGUAAGGUGAUAUGAACCGUUAUAACCGGCGAUUUCCGAAUGGGGAAACCCAGUGUGAUUCGUCACACUAUCAUUAACUGAAUCCAUAGGUUAAUGAGGCGAACCGGGGGAACUGAAACAUCUAAGUACCCCGAGGAAAAGAAAUCAACCGAGAUUCCCCCAGUAGCGGCGAGCGAACGGGGAGCAGCCCAGAGCCUGAAUCAGUGUGUGUGUUAGUGGAAGCGUCUGGAAAGGCGUGCGAUACAGGGUGACAGCCCCGUACACAAAAAUGCACAUAUUGUGAGCUCGAUGAGUAGGGCGGGACACGUGGUAUCCUGUCUGAAUAUGGGGGGACCAUCCUCCAAGGCUAAAUACUCCUGACUGACCGAUAGUGAACCAGUACCGUGAGGGAAAGGCGAAAAGAACCCCGGCGAGGGGAGUGAAAAAGAACCUGAAACCGUGUACGUACAAGCAGUGGGAGCACGCUUAGGCGUG
Molecule: ribosomal RNA, 562 nt
Filed under: Shigella dysenteriae
Lineage: Bacteria; Pseudomonadati; Pseudomonadota; Gammaproteobacteria; Enterobacterales; Enterobacteriaceae
Description: bacterial LSU rRNA
Rfam family: Bacterial large subunit ribosomal RNA
Source: RNAcentral